AUGUCAGAACCAACACUUCAGGAGUCUGGCCCAGCACUGGUGAAACCCUCACAGACACUGUCUCUCACCUGCCUUGUCUCUGGGCAGUCUGUAACCAGCAGUUACUACUGGAACUGGAUCCGCCAGCACCCUGGUAAAACGCUGGAGUGGAUGGGAUACUGGACAGGAAGCACAAAUUAUAACCCGGCUUUCCAGGGCCGCAUCUCCAUCACUGCUGACACGGCCAAGAACCAGUUCUCCCUGAAGCUGAGCUCUGUGACUGCCGAAGACACCCCUGUGUAUUACUGUGCAAGAAAAAUGGAAAGGGAGUUUUAUAGGGAUUACGGGUAUGGGUUAGGGACCCAAAGAAUUUCAGGAACUCUCUGCUGUCUGUUUGAUCAUUCUAUCCAGGCUGUUUCCAGCUGGUGCCAUUAA
Chrysochloris asiatica (Cape golden mole) is the source of this 414-nucleotide non-coding RNA. The record is from the annotation of a RefSeq genome assembly. NCBI's taxonomy places the organism in Eukaryota, Metazoa, Chordata, Mammalia, Afrosoricida, Chrysochloridae.